Long non-coding RNA from Talpa occidentalis (Iberian mole), 892 nucleotides. RefSeq lists it as uncharacterized. The record is from RefSeq and is a predicted model, not a curated record. NCBI's taxonomy places the organism in Eukaryota, Metazoa, Chordata, Mammalia, Eulipotyphla, Talpidae. The transcript has 5 exons.
UAAGGGCACUGGUCAGUGUCAGGAGGCCUUAGAAGAGUUCUAGCCCCUCAGUUUUCCUUAGCUUUAAGAUGAAAGGAUAAAUCAUUAACUAUUAAAGGUCCUUUCAAGUUCCUAUUGGAUAAUGCCCUAGAGGCCUUUUGCAAAGGUCAGAAAAACUGAUAGAGUAGCAGUCAUCAGAUAUAUACAGGAAAACAACAGUUUGGGGAGUAAAGCACUGAGAGGAGUGUAGAGAACUACUAAGAGGAUCGACUCUGGAGCCAGCUCUCCGGAUCUGAACACAAGCUCUACCUUUCACUAGAGUUGUUGUUUUUAAAGCAUACUCUGGAGAAUCUGAAUAUCCAUCUUAUGACCAGAAUCCUCUUCCAUACUGAAGAGGGCCAGUGUGACUGCUUCAACCAACAGAACAGGACAGAAGCGACACAAUGCCAUGGGUGGCCCAACUCAUAAAAAGUCUGGCAGAGUUGGCUUUUGCCACCUGGGAACCCAUUCACCAAACCAGAUACCUAGAAAAGCCAUGAGGAAGAGAACUGAGGCCAGGGCUGAAUCCUUAGCUGAUCUCCAGUUAACUACCUACUAGCCACGUCGGGGCUGGAGCUGAGAAUGUACAUUAUAAUAAGUUUCCAAGUGAUGCUGAUGCUGCUGAUCCAGGUACCAAAAUACACCAAGAAAAAGCAGGACACUUUCUUACAGAUAACCUGUUAUAUGUUAGGCACCGGACUUUUAAACAUUAGCCCAUUUGAUCCUCAAAAUUCAGUGAAGUGAGUAAAGUUGUACACAUCUUACAGAUUAAAAAAAGCUGUGCAGGGCUGCAUUAAUUGAUAAGUAAUUAAACCACUUACUAAAGACUAAAUCAAUUACUAAAGAAAGUGAACCCACUUUCUCUCAGUCUCAU